RNAcentral lists this ribosomal RNA (807 nucleotides) under Incilius valliceps (Southern Gulf Coast toad). RNAcentral's name for it is "partial 16S ribosomal RNA". It matches the Rfam family "Bacterial large subunit ribosomal RNA", at positions 1458 to 2562 of the family's 2925-position model. Lineage: Eukaryota; Metazoa; Chordata; Amphibia; Anura; Bufonidae. The record is from RNAcentral.
CAUCUUAAUCCUUCACUAAUACUGAGUAAUUCUAUAUUCUUAUAGAAAAUUUUAUGUUAAAACUAGUAAUAAGAAGAAGAUUCUUCUCUUUAAUGUAAGUGUAAAUCAGAAAGGACAAACCACUGAUAUUUAACGUCACUGAGUUAGAAAUAAAAACUUAUCAAGAAAACUCUACUUCCAUCAACGUUAACCUAACACAAGAACAUUUCAAGAAAGAUUAAAAGAAAAAGAAGGAACUCGGCAAAUAUUAACCUCGCCUGUUUACCAAAAACAUCGCCUCUUGAAUACUCAUAAGAGGUCCAGCCUGCCCAGUGACCAUGUUCAACGGCCGCGGUAUCCUAACCGUGCGAAGGUAGCGUAAUCACUUGUUCUUUAAAUGAGGACUAGUAUGAAUGGCACCACGAAGGUUAUACUGUCUCCUUUUUCUAAUCAAUGAAACUAAUCUCCCCGUGAAGAAGCGGGGAUAAACCUAUAAGACGAGAAGACCCUAUGGAGCUUUAAACAACAUAGCACCUACCUUAUAACAUAAAAUUUCCCGAACACUUUGAAUUUUACUGGUAUACUGACUAUAAGUUUUUGGUUGGGGUGACCGAGGAGCAUAAUGCAACCUCCAUGUUGAAAGAUACUUAUUCUUAGCUAAGACCUACCAGUCUAAGCAUCAAUAUAUUGACAUCCAUUGACCCAAUAAAAUUGAACAACGAACCAAGUUACCCUAGGGAUAACAGCGCAAUCCACUUCAAGAGCUCCUAUCGACAAGUGGGUUUACGACCUCGAUGUUGGAUCAGGGUAUCCCAGUGGUGCAGCCGC